RNAcentral lists this transfer RNA (73 nucleotides) under Camelus bactrianus (Bactrian camel). It matches the Rfam family "tRNA". From Rfam's summary of the family: Transfer RNA (tRNA) molecules are approximately 80 nucleotides in length. Their secondary structure includes four short double-helical elements and three loops (D, anti-codon, and T loops). The record is from Rfam by way of RNAcentral. RNAcentral also lists the same sequence under 2 other names. Lineage: Eukaryota; Metazoa; Chordata; Mammalia; Artiodactyla; Camelidae.
GAGGAUAUAGCUCAAGUGGCAGAGUGCAUGCUUAGUAUGCAUGAGAUUCAGGGUUCAAACCCCUGUACCUCCU